This 241-nucleotide long non-coding RNA is filed under the name Lathyrus oleraceus (garden pea). Its description in RNAcentral is "Pisum sativum (pea) long non-coding RNA (PSAT_LNC038127)". Lineage: Eukaryota; Viridiplantae; Streptophyta; Magnoliopsida; Fabales; Fabaceae. The record is from RNAcentral.
GCAAAUUGAAAAGAAUAUUACCAGUUACUGGGUAAUAGACUAUCAGGGGACCAAAAGCAUAUGUCUAGGUAAGAUGUAGAAAGAAACGGUCAAUCAAAUACUCCACCCAAUGAGGAUAUAGCUCAGGGGGAGUGGUUCCAUCCAGACAACCAACUGGGGAGGAAACUCAAAUAAUGAUCAUCCACGAGGAAAUAACUCGGUGGGGAAUGAGAAAGGUUAAAUUCUUUCUGCUUGAGGGGCA